RNAcentral lists this ribosomal RNA (253 nucleotides) under uncultured bacterium. Its description in RNAcentral is "partial 16S ribosomal RNA". It matches the Rfam family "Bacterial small subunit ribosomal RNA", at positions 524 to 776 of the family's 1533-position model. The record is from RNAcentral.
UACGUAGGGGGCAAGCGUUGUCCGGAUUUAUUGGGCGUAAAGGGCGUGUAGGCGGCCAACUAAGUCCGACGUGAAAUCCCCAGGCUUAACCUGGGAACUGCGUCGGAUACUGGAUGGCUUGAAUCCGGGAGAGGGAUGCAGAAUUCCAGGUGUAGCGGUGAAAUGCGUAGAUAUCUGGAGGAAUACCGGUGGCGAAGGCGGCAUCCUGGACCGGCAUUGACGCUGAAGCGCGAAAGCUAGGGGAGCAAACGGG